GCAGUCGAGGGGCAUCAUGAGGUAGCAAUACCUUGAUGGCGACCGGCGCACGGGUGAGUAACACGUAUGCAACCUGCCCUCUUCAGGGGGACAACCUUCCGAAAGGGAGGCUAAUCCCGCGUAUAUCGGUUUCGGGCAUCCGAGAUCGAGGAAAGAUUCAUCGGAAGAGGAUGGGCAUGCGGCGCAUUAGCUAGACGGCGGGGUAACGGCCCACCGUGGCGACGAUGCGUAGGGGUUCUGAGAGGAAGGUCCCCCACACUGGUACUGAGACACGGACCAGACUCCUACGGGAGGCAGCAGUGAGGAAUAUUGGUCAAUGGGAGAGAUCCUGAACCAGCCAAGCCGCGUGAGGGAAGACGGCCCUAUGGGUUGUAAACCUCUUUUGCCGGAGAACAAAACCCGGGACGAGUCCCGGACUGCGUGUAUCCGAAGAAAAAGCAUCGGCUAACUCCGUGCCAGCAGCCGCGGUAAUACGGAGGAUGCGAGCGUUAUCCGGAUUUAUUGGGUUUAAAGGGUGCGUAGGCGGUCCGUUAAGUCAGCGGUAAAAUUGCGGGGCUCAACCCCGUCGAGCCGUUGAAACUGGCAGACUUGAGUUGGCGAGAAGUACGCGGAAUGCGCGGUGUAGCGGUGAAAUGCAUAGAUAUCGCGCAGAACUCCGAUUGCGAAGGCAGCGUACCGGCGCCAGACUGACGCUGAGGCACGAAAGCGUGGGGAUCGAACAGGAUUAGAUACCCUGGUAGUCCACGCAGUAAACGAUGAAUGCUGGUUGUCCGGGUCGAA
RNAcentral lists this ribosomal RNA (780 nucleotides) under uncultured bacterium. RNAcentral's name for it is "bacterial SSU rRNA". It matches the Rfam family "Bacterial small subunit ribosomal RNA", at positions 57 to 833 of the family's 1533-position model. The record is from RNAcentral.